AACGAACGCUGGCGGCAGGCUUAACACAUGCAAGUCGAACGCCCCUUUCGGGGGGAGUGGCAGACGGGUGAGUAACGCGUGGGAACGUGCCCUUCAGUUUGGAAUAACCCAGGGACACUUGGGCUAAUACCGGAUACGCCCUUCGGGGGAAAGAUUUAUCGCUGAAGGAUCGGCCCGCGUCGGAUUAGCUGGUUGGUGAUGUAAUGGCUCACCAAGGCGACGAUCAGUAGCUGGGCUGAGAGGAUGAUCAGCCACAUUGGGACUGAGACACGGCCCAAACUCCUACGGGAGGCAGCAGUGGGGAAUAUUGGACAAUGGGCGCAAGCCUGAUCCAGCCAUGCCGCGUGAGUGAUGACGGCCUUAGGGUUGUAAAGCUCUUUCGCACGCGACGAUAAUGACGGUAGCGUGAGAAGAAGCCCCGGCUAACUUCGUGCCAGCCGCCGCCGUAA
RNAcentral lists this ribosomal RNA (449 nucleotides) under uncultured bacterium. RNAcentral describes it as "partial 16S ribosomal RNA". It matches the Rfam family "Bacterial small subunit ribosomal RNA", at positions 29 to 523 of the family's 1533-position model. The record is from RNAcentral.